UACGUAGGGUGCAAGCGUUAAUCGGAAUUACUGGGCGUAGAGCGUGCGCAGGCGGUGAUGUAAGACAGAUGUGAAAUCCCCGGGCUCAACCCGGGAAGUGCACUCGAUACUGCCAAGCUAGAGUAUCGGAGAGGUUGGUGGAAUUCUCGGUGUAGAGGUGAAAUUCGUAGAUAUCGAGAGGAACACCGGUGGCGAAGGCGGCCAACUGGACGAAUACUGACGCUGAGACUCGAAAGCGUGGGGAGCAAACAGG
RNAcentral lists this ribosomal RNA (253 nucleotides) under uncultured bacterium. RNAcentral describes it as "partial 16S ribosomal RNA". It matches the Rfam family "Bacterial small subunit ribosomal RNA", at positions 524 to 776 of the family's 1533-position model. The record is from RNAcentral.